RNAcentral lists this ribosomal RNA (639 nucleotides) under uncultured Cryptanaerobacter sp. RNAcentral describes it as "bacterial SSU rRNA". It matches the Rfam family "Bacterial small subunit ribosomal RNA", at positions 28 to 671 of the family's 1533-position model. Lineage: Bacteria; Bacillati; Bacillota; Clostridia; Eubacteriales; Desulfotomaculaceae. The record is from RNAcentral.
GACGAACGCUGGCGGCGUGCUUAACACAUGCAAGUCGAACGGAGAUUUAAGAGGAAGCUUGCGAAUCUUAAAUUUUAGUGGCGGACGGGUGAGUAACACGUGGAUAACCUGCCUGUAAGACCGGGACAACACCUGGAAACGGGUGCUAAUACCGGGUAAGCUCUUCAGCCCGCAUGGGCAGAAGAGGAGAGGGGAAACCCGCUUACAGAUGGGUCCGCGGCCCAUUAGCUAGUUGGCGGUGUAACAGACCACCAAGGCGACGAUGGGUAGCCGGCCUGAGAGGAUGACCGGCCACACUGGAACUGAGACACGGUCCAGACUCCUACGGGAGGCAGCAGUGGGGAAUCUUCCGCAAUGGGCGAAAGCCUGACGGAGCAACGCCGCGUGAAUGAUGAAGGCCUUCGGGUUGUAAAAUUCUGUCUUCAGGGAAGAAAAAAAUGACGGUACCUGAGGAGAAGCCCCGGCUAACUACGUGCCAGCAGCCGCGGUAAUACGUAGGGGGCGAGCGUUGUCCGGAAUUACUGGGCGUAAAGGGCGCGUAGGCGGUUCAUUAAGUCAGAGGUGAAAGCUCCCGGCUCAACCGGGAGACUGCCUUUGAAACUGGUAGACUUGAGGGCAGGAGAGGGGAGUGGAAUUCCC